GCUGUGAUAUUGCUACAUGAAGCCCUAGGACUGUGCUGUUAAUAAUUGUAAUGCUCUGAGCCAUUACUGUAGAGGUUGUAGAAAAAGUCUACAUUUAUUAGAAAAUAUUAAGUCCCAUUGUGGGUAACUGAGGACUUGACAGUUUCUGGAAAACAGCAACAAGUAAACUUUAAGAAUGCAGACACUCAGUAGUGACAAAGAAUAGACACUUAGCAGAAAGGCUUGGGUAUUGUGCUAUGGCUCUAAAUGCUAGACAUAAAAAAUCGUCUUUGGGAAAGAAAAACCUUUUCUAGCUGAAUUUUUGUGAAAAAUCUGAAUAGGGGACUUUAAUUAAAAGCUGUAUGUAGUAGAAGCACAAUCCUAUUGACGCUUAAUAUCAGUGACCUUCAUCAGAGAAAAGGUAAGAUGGCUUUGUACAGAUGCCAUAUGUCAAUCUCUGCAGCCUUUUGUGCUUGAGUUUCUACCUGUCAUUUUGAAUCUGUGCUAACAUGACACAGCAACAACCAAAACACUUUAUUUUAUUUUAAAUAACCUCAGGUAGUACAAAAAUCUAUUCACAGGAGCUAAAAAUCUUAUAACUUUGUGCUGUAUGUAUACAUCUAUGUAUAUAUCCAGGUUUCACAUUUAACAGUAACUCAGGAUUUUCAAAGUGACACAGUUAUCAGAGAGGGGUUUUGCGGUAUCUUGCCUAAUGAUAGUAUGAUAAUCUAUUCAAGAGCUAGAAAUGGCCCCAAAGAAACUAUUACAGUGCAAUAAUGGACUGGAAAAGAUAUAAUCAGAGCCCAUAGAACUGGGAAGGAGGCUUCAAACAGAAGUGUUUUAGCAGUGAUUGUUCCCAGCAGAACUAUGAAGCCUGUCUGGCUACACUCUGUUGAGGAGGAGUCUGAGAGGCACAAAUAUUCAUGAACUUGGAUGGCAGCUGAGCAGCAGGUUUCUGAGCUCCUGAGGGAACCUGAGAAGCACAAACUGCAAAAAAUCACCCGGAGUGAAAUUAAAGGCAGUGACACUGGAGAUGUCAUGAGACCACAGACACCACUGAACUUCCUGAGAAGCCAACAUCAGGCAGACAUCCUACUGUAGGUACGGCAAUAAACUUUCCAUUUGGCAUUCCUGUGCA
RNAcentral lists this long non-coding RNA (1117 nucleotides) under Cyanistes caeruleus (blue tit). Its description in RNAcentral is "lncRNA (ENSCCEG00000004015.1)". Lineage: Eukaryota; Metazoa; Chordata; Aves; Passeriformes; Paridae. The record is from RNAcentral.